Molecule: small nuclear RNA, 61 nt
Filed under: Tupaia belangeri chinensis (Chinese tree shrew)
Lineage: Eukaryota; Metazoa; Chordata; Mammalia; Scandentia; Tupaiidae
Description: Tupaia chinensis (Chinese tree shrew) U7 small nuclear RNA
Rfam family: U7 small nuclear RNA
About the family: Animal histone pre-mRNAs are spliced by a different mechanism than nuclear pre-mRNAs and self-splicing introns.
Source: Rfam by way of RNAcentral
AAGUGUUAAAGCUCUUUUAGAAUUUGUCUAACAAGUUUUGUGGUUUUACUAGAAAACCAUA